RNAcentral lists this ribosomal RNA (269 nucleotides) under uncultured prokaryote. RNAcentral describes it as "partial 16S ribosomal RNA". It matches the Rfam family "Bacterial small subunit ribosomal RNA", at positions 524 to 792 of the family's 1533-position model. The record is from RNAcentral.
UACGGAGGAUCCGAGCGUUAUCCGGAUUUAUUGGGUUUAAAGGGUGCGCAGGCGGGAGAUUAAGUCGGCGGUGAAAUUUUGCAGCUCAACUGUAAAAGUGCCUUCGAAACUGGUUUCCUUGAGUGUAGAUGAAGUAGGCGGAAUUUGUGGUGUAGCGGUGAAAUGCAUAGAUAUCACGAGGAACUCCGAUUGCGCAGGCAGCUUACUAAACUACUACUGACGCUCAGGCACGAAGGCGUGGGGAUCAAACAGGAUUAGAUACUCGGGUA